This 72-nucleotide transfer RNA is filed under the name Stegodyphus mimosarum. It matches the Rfam family "tRNA". From Rfam's summary of the family: Transfer RNA (tRNA) molecules are approximately 80 nucleotides in length. Their secondary structure includes four short double-helical elements and three loops (D, anti-codon, and T loops). Lineage: Eukaryota; Metazoa; Arthropoda; Arachnida; Araneae; Eresidae. The record is from Rfam by way of RNAcentral.
GCCUUCGUGGUGUAAUGGUCAGCACACUCGGCGAGUGUUCGAGAGGUCUAGGUUCGAGUCCCGUCUAGGGCA